UGGCGGACGGGUGAGUAAUGUCUGGGAAACUGCCCGAUGGAGGGGGGUAACUACUGGAAACGGUAGCUAAUACCGCAUAACGUCGCAAGACCAAAGAGGGGGACCUUAGGGCCUCUUGCCAUCGGAUGUGCCCAGAUGGGAUUAGCUAGUAGGUGGGGUAAUGGCUCACCUAGGCGACGAUCCCUAGCUGGUCUGAGAGGAUGACCAGCCACACUGGAACUGAGACACGGUCCAG
Molecule: ribosomal RNA, 235 nt
Filed under: uncultured bacterium
Lineage: Bacteria
Description: partial 16S ribosomal RNA
Rfam family: Bacterial small subunit ribosomal RNA
Source: RNAcentral